RNAcentral lists this ribosomal RNA (480 nucleotides) under Salmonella enterica subsp. enterica serovar Infantis. RNAcentral describes it as "bacterial SSU rRNA". It matches the Rfam family "Bacterial small subunit ribosomal RNA", at positions 1035 to 1515 of the family's 1533-position model. Lineage: Bacteria; Pseudomonadati; Pseudomonadota; Gammaproteobacteria; Enterobacterales; Enterobacteriaceae. The record is from RNAcentral. RNAcentral also lists the same sequence under 5 other names.
CAGGUGCUGCAUGGCUGUCGUCAGCUCGUGUUGUGAAAUGUUGGGUUAAGUCCCGCAACGAGCGCAACCCUUAUCCUUUGUUGCCAGCGGUCCGGCCGGGAACUCAAAGGAGACUGCCAGUGAUAAACUGGAGGAAGGUGGGGAUGACGUCAAGUCAUCAUGGCCCUUACGACCAGGGCUACACACGUGCUACAAUGGCGCAUACAAAGAGAAGCGACCUCGCGAGAGCAAGCGGACCUCAUAAAGUGCGUCGUAGUCCGGAUUGGAGUCUGCAACUCGACUCCAUGAAGUCGGAAUCGCUAGUAAUCGUGGAUCAGAAUGCCACGGUGAAUACGUUCCCGGGCCUUGUACACACCGCCCGUCACACCAUGGGAGUGGGUUGCAAAAGAAGUAGGUAGCUUAACCUUCGGGAGGGCGCUUACCACUUUGUGAUUCAUGACUGGGGUGAAGUCGUAACAAGGUAACCGUAGGGGAACCUGC